Non-coding RNA from Neisseria mucosa C102, 124 nucleotides. NCBI's taxonomy places the organism in Bacteria, Pseudomonadati, Pseudomonadota, Betaproteobacteria, Neisseriales, Neisseriaceae. The record is from Rfam.
UAGGUCGUUUGGCUUGGCAAACUUGUCCGAACCUGAAAAGGUUCUUUUAUUUUCGGAGUUAUCCAUCAUGGCAUUGACCGUAGAACAAAAAGCACAAAUUGUUAAAGAUUUCCAACGCAAAGAA